GACGAACGCUGGCGGCGUGCUUAACACAUGCAAGUCGAACGGAAAGGCCCUGCUUUUGUGGGGUGCUCGAGUGGCGAACGGGUGAGUAACACGUGAGUAACCUGCCCUUGACUUUGGGAUAACUUCAGGAAACUGGGGCUAAUACCGGAUAGGAGCUCCUGCUGCAUGGUGGGGGUUGGAAAGUUUCGGCGGUUGGGGAUGGACUCGCGGCUUAUCAGCUUGUUGGUGGGGUAGUGGCUUACCAAGGCUUUGACGGGUAGCCGGCCUGAGAGGGUGACCGGCCACAUUGGGACUGAGAUACGGCCCAGACUCCUACGGGAGGCAGCAGUGGGGAAUAUUGCACAAUGGGCGGAAGCCUGAUGCAGCAACGCCGCGUGCGGGAUGACGGCCUUCGGGUUGUAAACCGCUUUCGCCUGUGACGAAGCGUGAGUGACGGUAAUGGGUAAAGAAGCACCGGCUAACUACGUGCCAGCAGCCGCGGUGAUACGUAGGGUGCGAGCGUUGUCCGGAUUUAUUGGGCGUAAAGGGCUCGUAGGUGGUUGAUCGCGUCGGAAGUGUAAUCUUGGGGCUUAACCCUGAGCGUGCUUUCGAUACGGGUUGACUUGAGGAAGGUAGGGGAGAAUGGAAUUCCUGGUGGAGCGGUGGAAUGCGCAGAUAUCAGGAGGAACACCAGUGGCGAAGGCGGUUCUCUGGGCCUUUCCUGACGCUGAGGAGCGAAAGCGUGGGGAGCGAACAGGCUUAGAUACCCUGGUAGUCCACGCUGUAAACGGUGGGUACUAGGUGUGGGGUCCAUUCCACGGGUUCCGUGCCGUAGCUAACGCUUUAAGUACCCCGCCUGGGGAGUACGGCCGCAUGGCUAAAACUCAAAGGAAUUGACGGGGCCCCGCACAAGCGGCGGAGCAUGCGGAUUAAUUCGAUGCAACGCGUAGAACCUUACCUGGGUUUGACAUGGAUCGGGAGCGCUCAGAGAUGGGUGUGCCUCUUUUGGGGUCGGUUCACAGGUGGUGCAUGGCUGUCGUCAGCUCGUGUCGUGAGAUGUUGGGUUAAGUCCCGCAACGAGCGCAACCCUUGUUCACUGUUGCCAGCACGUUAUGGUGGGGACUCAGUGGAGACCGCCGGGGUCAACUCGGAGGAAGGUGGGGAUGACGUCAAGUCAUCAUGCCCCUUAUGUCCAGGGCUUCACGCAUGCUACAAUGGCUGGUACAGAGAGUGGCGAGCCUGUGAGGGUGAGCGAAUCUCGGAAAGCCGGUCUCAGUUCGGAUUGGGGUCUGCAACUCGACCUCAUGAAGUCGGAGUCGCUAGUAAUCGCAGAUCAGCAACGCUGCGGUGAAUACGUUCCCGGGGCU
This 1346-nucleotide ribosomal RNA is filed under the name uncultured bacterium. RNAcentral describes it as "bacterial SSU rRNA". It matches the Rfam family "Bacterial small subunit ribosomal RNA", at positions 28 to 1381 of the family's 1533-position model. The record is from RNAcentral.